This is a long non-coding RNA of Scylla paramamosain (green mud crab), 988 nucleotides long. RefSeq lists it as uncharacterized. The transcript is spliced from 5 exons. The record is from RefSeq and is a predicted model, not a curated record. NCBI's taxonomy places the organism in Eukaryota, Metazoa, Arthropoda, Malacostraca, Decapoda, Portunidae.
UUUUUUUAUCGCGUUUGUUCGAACACUUUUUCAUAUAGUUAUUUAAAUAUAGCUUUAUUAUCACUGAAGCUUGGAAUAUUUUUAUAUGUCCAGAAUUAAUUUAAAAUUAUGCCCUUUCAUAAUAUGUAAAGCAUUCCGGCCUAGCUCCAUUUUUGCGAGGGGUCAUUUUCAAAAUCAUUUGCGUAACGUAAAUAUGGCGGACGUGACGUCAUCAGCCGCCUUCAUCCGGGGACCGAGACCCUGGACCUUCCCACCUCCCAGUGUCUUUCCAUUCCAUCAGUAUUUAGUGUUAUUUCCUAUAUUUUCCAGCUGUUUUCAUGCAUAGAGAAGAAUAGAAAGAGGAGGAAAGAAGGAGAAAUGAAGAAGGAGGAGGAAGAAGAGGGAAGGGAAGGAGGAAGAGGAGAAGGAAAAGAAGAAAUAUUAAGAAAAGAUUUUCACUGAAUUUCCAGCGUUUUAAAGUCUGAUCCUGGACCUGCGCAGCUUGACGGUGGUGGUGCCUCUGUCUCCUGCUCUCCUUGACUAUUAGCCCAAGCAUGACUCCAGCGGCUUGUAUUCCUCUGUGUGGUAAUAAGUCUGUGUGGCUUAUUACCAGCAUAUCACAUCAGCGUCCCUGCAAGGUUCCAUUCUGUCUUGUCUGGUGGCACUGAUCAGCGUGGCAUUCAGCAUAGGCUUCACCGUCGGGCCAGCUGUGGGGGCCGCGUUUUCCCGCUGGGGAAGUACUGGGUGGUUUGCGGCCUCGGUUGUCUACGCACUCACUCUCGCUGUGGCUAACAUAAUAUUCUUUGUUGUCUUCUUCCAGGAAUUGCUGCCUGAGGGCCUAAUGAUGAUGAUUCCUGCUUUCAUCCUCAUCGGGGCUAACGAGACCAACCUGGGGCUGUACUCUGGACUGACGCUGUAUGCCAUAGACAACCUAACCAACCAGCUUAACCUGAGUCGCCCCUGGAACCGCCCCACCACAGAGGAGGAGGAGGAGGAGGAGGAGGAGGAG